UUUCACGCGGCUCCGAGAGCGUUUCCCAUCGGGGGCCCCUUUCCCCAGGAAAACCCAGGAGGAAUUUGGCCUUUCCAUCCCCCGCCGCUCCCCCGAAGCCAAAGCCCGGCCGCGCCGGCUGCCCGGAGCCUGCAAAUGACUGGGACACGUUUCACACCCCCAGACCUGGUGCAGGGAGGUCCAUGGGGAGAACUGGAGCAUGAUGGGCUCGAUGGUGCAGUCAUCCCCAAGUGUCCCCACGGUGGCCAGCUUGAGGAAGGGUACUCAGCAUCAGCAGAAGCGUCCAAGGCUGCCAGCACCUCCUGGAAACCGUCCCCCUUGGCCAAGGCCACCACCUGGCGCUCCAUGAACUCCUCCACCACCACUUGGUAGGAGCUGGAGAACACAAAACCCCCCAGAUU
Serinus canaria (Common canary) is the source of this 401-nucleotide long non-coding RNA. RefSeq lists it as uncharacterized. NCBI's taxonomy places the organism in Eukaryota, Metazoa, Chordata, Aves, Passeriformes, Fringillidae. The record is from RefSeq and is a predicted model, not a curated record. The transcript is spliced from 3 exons.